UACGUAGGGGGCAAGCGUUGUCCGGAAUCAUUGGGCGUAAAGCGCGUGUAGGCGGCCCGGCAAGUCCGCUGUGAAAGUCGGGGGCUCAACCCUCGAAUGCCGGUGGAUACUGUCGGGCUAGAGUGCGGAAGAGGCGAGUGGAAUUCCUGGUGUAGCGGUGAAAUGCGCAGAUAUCAGGAGGAACACCAAUUGCGAAGGCAGCUCGCUGGGACGUGACUGACGCUGAGACGCGAAAGCGUGGGGAGCAAACAGG
This 253-nucleotide ribosomal RNA is filed under the name uncultured bacterium. Its description in RNAcentral is "partial 16S ribosomal RNA". It matches the Rfam family "Bacterial small subunit ribosomal RNA", at positions 524 to 776 of the family's 1533-position model. The record is from RNAcentral.